GUCAGGAUGGCCGAGCGGUCUAAGGCGCCAGACUCAAGGUAAUACCUUGCCCGUAGCCCGGGUACACGAGCGUUCUGGUCCUCUCUGAGGGCGUGGGUUCAAAUCCCACUCCUGACA
RNAcentral lists this transfer RNA (117 nucleotides) under Trialeurodes vaporariorum (greenhouse whitefly). Its description in RNAcentral is "tRNA-Leu for anticodon CAA". It matches the Rfam family "tRNA". Rfam says of the family: Transfer RNA (tRNA) molecules are approximately 80 nucleotides in length. Their secondary structure includes four short double-helical elements and three loops (D, anti-codon, and T loops). Further hydrogen bonds mediate the characteristic L-shaped molecular structure. tRNAs have two regions of fundamental functional importance: the anti-codon, which is responsible for specific mRNA codon recognition, and the 3' end, to which the tRNAs corresponding amino acid is attached (by aminoacyl-tRNA synthetases). tRNAs cope with the degeneracy of the genetic code in two manners: having more than one tRNA (with a specific anti-codon) for a particular amino acid; and 'wobble' base-pairing, i.e. permitting non-standard base-pairing at the 3rd anti-codon position. The record is from RNAcentral. Lineage: Eukaryota; Metazoa; Arthropoda; Insecta; Hemiptera; Aleyrodidae.